UGCCUACGGGGGGCAGCAGUGGGGGAUAUUGCACAAUGGGGGAAACCCUGAUGCAGCGACGCCGCGUGAGUGAAGAAGUAUUUCGGUAUGUAAAGCUCUAUCAGCAGGGACGAAAAUGACGGUACCUGAGUAAGAAGCCCCGGCUAACUACGUGCCAGCAGCCGCGGUAAUACGUAGGGGGCAAGCGUUAUCCGGAUUUACUGGGUGUAAAGGGAGCGUAGACGGGUAUGCAAGUCUGGAGUGAAAGGCGGGGGCUCAACCCCCGGACUGCUCUGGAAACUGGAGAACUAGAGUGCAGGAGGGGG
This 305-nucleotide ribosomal RNA is filed under the name uncultured bacterium. Its description in RNAcentral is "partial 16S ribosomal RNA". It matches the Rfam family "Bacterial small subunit ribosomal RNA", at positions 335 to 658 of the family's 1533-position model. The record is from RNAcentral.